CCUACGGGAGGCAGCAGUAGGGAAUAUUGCUCAAUGGGGGAAACUCUGAAGCAGCAACGCCGCGUGGAGGAUGAAGGUUUUCGGAUUGUAAACUCCUUUUGUUAGAGAAGAUAAUGACGGUAUCUAACGAAUAAGCACCGGCUAACUCCGUGCCAGCAGCCGCGGUAAUACGGAGGGUGCAAGCGUUACACGGAUUCACUGGGCGUAAAGAGCGCGUAGGCGGGAUAGCAAGUCAGAUGUGAAAUCCUAUGGCUUAACCAUAGAACUGCAUUUGAAACUGUUAUUCUGGAGUAUGGGAGAGGUAGGUGGAAUUCGUGGUGUAGGGGUGAAAGCCGUAGAGAUGAAGAGGAAUACGCAUGGCGAAGGCGGCCUGCUAGAACAUAACUGACGCUGAUGCGCGAAAGCGUGGGGAGCAAACAGGAUUAGAUACCCUAGUAGUC
RNAcentral lists this ribosomal RNA (440 nucleotides) under uncultured bacterium. RNAcentral describes it as "partial 16S ribosomal RNA". It matches the Rfam family "Bacterial small subunit ribosomal RNA", at positions 338 to 795 of the family's 1533-position model. The record is from RNAcentral.